GAUGAGCGCUGGCGGCGUGCCUAAUACAUGCAAGUCGAGCGAACGGACGAGAAGCUUGCUUCUCUGAUGUUAGCGGCGGACGGGUGAGUAACACGUGGAUAACCUACCUAUAAGACUGGGAUAAUUUCGGGAAACCGGAGCUAAUACCGGAUGAUAUUUUGAACCGCAUGGUUCAAAAGUGAAAGACGGUCUUGCUGUCACUUAUAGAUGGAUCCGCGCUGCAUUAGCUAGUUGGUAAGGUAACGGCUCACCAAGGCAACGAUGCAUAGCCGACCUGAGAGGGUGAUCGGCCACACUGGAACUGAGACACGGUCCAGACUCCUACGGGAGGCAGCAGUAGGGAAUCUUCCGCAAUGGGCGAAAGCCUGACGGAGCAACGCCGCGUGAGUGAUGAAGGUCUUCGGAUCGUAAAACUCUGUUAUUAGGGAAGAACAUAUGUGUAAGUAACUGUGCACAUCUUGACGGUACCUAAUCAGAAAGCCACGGCUAACUACGUG
RNAcentral lists this ribosomal RNA (497 nucleotides) under uncultured bacterium. Its description in RNAcentral is "partial 16S ribosomal RNA". It matches the Rfam family "Bacterial small subunit ribosomal RNA", at positions 28 to 507 of the family's 1533-position model. The record is from RNAcentral.